AUUGAACGCUGGCGGAAUGCUUUACACAUGCAAGUCGAGCGGCAGCACGGGGGCAACCCUGGUGGCGAGCGGCGAACGGGUGAGUAAUACAUCGGAACAUGCCCAGUCGUGGGGGAUAACACUUCGAAAGAAGUGCUAAUACCGCAUACGUCCUGAGGGAGAAAGCGGGGGAUCGCAAGACCUCGCGCGAUUGGAGUGGCCGAUGUCGGAUUAGCUAGUUGGUGGGGUAAAGGCCUACCAAGGCAACGAUCUGUAGCUGGUCUGAGAGGAUGAUCAGCCACACUGGGACUGAGACACGGCCCAGACUCCUACGGGAGGCAGCAGUGGGGAAUUUUGGACAAUGGGGGCAACCCUGAUCCAGCCAUUCCGCGUGAGUGAAGAAGGCCUUCGGGUUGUAAAGCUCUUUCGGCAGGAACGAAACGGCGAGCUCUAACAUAGCUUGCUAAUGACGGUACCUGAAGAAGAAGCACCGGCUAACUACGUG
This 484-nucleotide ribosomal RNA is filed under the name uncultured bacterium. Its description in RNAcentral is "partial 16S ribosomal RNA". It matches the Rfam family "Bacterial small subunit ribosomal RNA", at positions 30 to 507 of the family's 1533-position model. The record is from RNAcentral.